Long non-coding RNA from Oreochromis aureus, 1042 nucleotides. RefSeq lists it as uncharacterized. Lineage: Eukaryota; Metazoa; Chordata; Actinopteri; Cichliformes; Cichlidae. The record is from RefSeq and is a predicted model, not a curated record. The transcript is spliced from 3 exons.
CAGGCAAGUUUUCAUGUUUGAAAAGUCCGUGUUUUAUGUUUUUGAACUCAGCUUCAACAGUGGCUGAACUUGCUGUGAUGCUGGUGCUUUGGAAGAGAGGGACCAUUAUUCCUGUCCAGAGUGGCAAGUAACUUGCCAGUCUUAUUAUAUGAGGAAUAAUCUCAGGGAGAAAGUGAAUAUUAUCUCUAUCCCCGUUUGCUGCAGCAAGUGACCUGCUCUCCUCACAUAUUUCUGUUACCCACUGUCGUAGGUCUGUCUGGAUCUCAUCCACUGAAUCCACUCUCUCACUUUCCUCCAUCUGUUCAUCUGGAAUGAUGAUGGAGUCUUGAGCAAUUUGGGCUUUCAGGUAUUUCUUGCACCUUUCUGAGGGAAGAGGGGCUCCAGAACUGUCAUCACCUUCUGCCUCACUGAGGGCCACAACAGUGAUAGCACGCAGUCCCACUGGCAUAUCAUCUUGAUGCAGUGCACAACAUCAACCCUGAUAAAACAUGGGGGGAGUUUGGCAGACUGGGUUCCAAGAAGGACAUGAAAGCAUUCAUUAAGAGUGGCCAAAUUUGGAAGGUGGCUUGGCUCAGGAUCUCCAACAUCCAUCAGAUCUGCUGCCUUCGCUGACCUCCAUACAGCCGGUUCCAUUCUGCCCUCACACAGCUCUUUAGAGAUCUGUUCACGCAGGUUUCCAGUAAUGAACCGCUUGGAGUGGCCAGUGUGCAGGGAGAGAUCUGUAUUUCUCAUGAAACACUGGAGCACCAUUGGACUAUUGAUUGCUGGCUGUCUGUCACAUGUCAUUUCUAACUGGCCAUGACACUCCUUACUGAUGUCCAGAUAAUUAUUGUUGACAGUUGGAUGGACCUUUGCUCUUCGGAACACAAGUGUACAUGUAUUUUUGAUCUUCUUCCAUAUAAGAUCGUUGAUGAUAUGAGUCCAAGUGCCAGGUUUCAAAAUUGUGUAUUCCCUUUUUUGGGUAGGAGAAAACUUGUCAUUGUAUUCAACCUUUUCAGGAAUAAAUUUAACCCAGUCCUCAAAAGGGACUUCUAGUUCAAAA